GACGAACGCUGGCGGCGUGCUUAACACAUGCAAGUCGAUCGAUGAAGCCUAGCUUGCUAGGUGGAUUAGUGGCGAACGGGUGAGUAAUACGUGAGUAACCUACCUUUAACUCUGGGAUAAGCCUGGGAAACUGGGUCUAAUACCGGAUACGACCAAUCUCCGCAUGGGGUGUUGGUGGAAAGCGUUAUGUAGUGGUUAUAGAUGGGCUCACGGCCUAUCAGCUUGUUGGUGAGGUAACGGCUCACCAAGGCGACGACGGGUAGCCGGCCUGAGAGGGUGACCGGCCACACUGGGACUGAGACACGGCCCAGACUCCUACGGGAGGCAGCAGUGGGGAAUAUUGCACAAUGGGCGCAAGCCUGAUGCAGCGACGCCGCGUGAGGGAUGACGGCCUUCGGGUUGUAAACCUCUGUUAGCAGGGAAGAAGAGAGAUUGACGGUACCUGCAGAGAAAGC
Molecule: ribosomal RNA, 455 nt
Filed under: Rothia mucilaginosa
Lineage: Bacteria; Bacillati; Actinomycetota; Actinomycetes; Micrococcales; Micrococcaceae
Description: bacterial SSU rRNA
Rfam family: Bacterial small subunit ribosomal RNA
Source: RNAcentral